RNAcentral lists this ribosomal RNA (253 nucleotides) under uncultured bacterium. RNAcentral's name for it is "partial 16S ribosomal RNA". It matches the Rfam family "Bacterial small subunit ribosomal RNA", at positions 524 to 776 of the family's 1533-position model. The record is from RNAcentral.
UACGGAGGGGGCGAGCGUUAUUCGGAAUUAUUGGGCGUAAAGAGCUCGUAGGCGGUUUGUCGCGUCGAAUGUGAAAACCCGGGGCUCAACCCCGGGCCUGCAUUCGAUACGGGCAGACUAGAGUUCGGUAGGGGAGUCUGGAAUUCCUGGUGUAGCGGUGAAAUGCGCAGAUAUCAGGAGGAACACCGGUGGCGAAGGCGGGACUCUGGGCCGAUACUGACGCUGAGGAGCGAAAGCGUGGGGAGCAAACAGG